CAGCCGCCGCGGUAAUACGUAGGGUGCAAGCGUUAAUCGGAAUUACUGGGCGUAAAGCGUGCGCAGGCGGUUUGUUAAGACAGAUGUGAAAUCCCGGGCCUCAACCCCGGAACUGCAUCCGAUACUGCCAUGCUAGAGGAUUGGAGAGGUAGCUGGAAUUCUUGGUGUAGCAGUGAAAUGCGUGGAGAUCAAGAGGAACACUCGUGGCGAAAGCGAGCUACUGGACAAUAACUGACGCUGAGGCUCGAAGGCCAGGGUAGCGAAAGGGAUUAGAUACCCGAGUAGUCCCUGUCUCUUAUAC
RNAcentral lists this ribosomal RNA (301 nucleotides) under uncultured bacterium. Its description in RNAcentral is "partial 16S ribosomal RNA". It matches the Rfam family "Bacterial small subunit ribosomal RNA", at positions 509 to 807 of the family's 1533-position model. The record is from RNAcentral.